This is a long non-coding RNA of Etheostoma spectabile (orangethroat darter), 102 nucleotides long. RefSeq lists it as uncharacterized. The transcript is spliced from 3 exons. The record is from RefSeq and is a predicted model, not a curated record. Lineage: Eukaryota; Metazoa; Chordata; Actinopteri; Perciformes; Percidae.
UCCUUGUUAGUCUGGAUAGUCUACAGACCUCACUGAACGGUGUCCUUUGGAACUACUUUCUACUGAAGAAAUAGUCCCUAUGAACACUGUUGACAAUUUGUU